GCGAGCAUGUGCGAGAGUCGGACGUGUCUUGGGCGAGAACGAAUUGUGAGAGCGAAACAAGCGUAAGCGUGCGAGGAGAGAUCUCGACCGAGAGUGAGGAGUGCGAGAGAGGUUGCGACAGGACCCCGGGAGGACGAGAUCGAGCGAGAAGAAGCUGCCGAACCUUCGGACCUCCGAGAGGAGAGCAUCGUUACCGAACACGAAAACAUCAGCAUAGAAGAUAUCAUAAAUUUUAAGUGCACGUGUAAGAGAUUCUGACCGAUAACACUGCUCUGCAAAUUUUGGGAAAAGAAAUAUUAUCAGAGCUACCCUACUGCAGAAAAAAAGUAUAACAAAGAAAAACAGAAUAAAGUAUUUCGUCAUAUCUAUUUAAAAAAAAAAAAACAGGAUUAUAUUAUAUCCACGAGUUACAAUAUUAUGCAUACGUGACGGCAGAAUAUAAAUUAAGUUUUACUAACGUAAAACAUUUUAUACUUCUACUGCGCUUAAUUGCAGAAGAUUCUAUAACGUAUUAUUUUGUGUGCGAUGAGAUAAAUAAAAAUUAUGCACAAAAAUCAAGCAAACUGUUUUUUAAUUUGACACAUGAAUAUUACUUUAAAAGAAUUUUUAACUGUAUAAAGCAUUAUCGAUUUAUAUAUAAACAAAUAAAAUUUAUGAAUAUGCCGAAGACGAAGAUUCUUUUGGAAAAACAAUUGACGAUCGUAACGCAAUAUUUUGCGCCAUGUUUCUUAUUCGGACGUAAAAACGUGGUGAAAUGAAAUAACGCAAACAGUACUAUGUUGUCUGAAAAUUAAAUAUCCGUCUCAUUCAAUUUGCUCUACGGUUUUAGAGCAAUUUUCUUUUUGGAGAGACAACAAUAUUGAUGAUAAUUUCUGGGAUGAAACAGAAUCAAAGCAAAUUAUGGGCAUUCUCGAAGAAUAUAUAUUUUCGGAGUUAGAAAUCCAUAAAUUGCAUCAAUUAUUAAAGACAACAGAUCUCGAAGCAAAAUAUAUAAAAUAUUUUGCAGGAAGUUUUCGAAGACAUUUAUUGAUUUUCACUUAUAACAUCAUAGCAAGAAGAUUCGGCGUACAUUGCUGUGUAACAACGUAUAAAAAUGAUAUUGGAAUCAUAUGGAAACCAAAAUAGGAAAAAUUUUAUAUUCGUAAUACAGAAUUCUUUUAUCUAAGUCUGAACCCUCAUCUAUCUUACCCAUCGAACGUUAUCAGGGAAUUAUAUCCAAAUAAUGUAUUCUCUUCUGCGACUGUCCAUUUAUUUAGUCAUAUUUCGGUUGGUAACACGUUUUAUAAUAAAAAAUUACCACUUCUAUCUAAAAUAUCAUCAAAAAUAUUGCAGGGAUUUCAAUAUUAUUUUCAUUUUACUAUACCGAUAUUUUGCAGUAGACAAGCCCAUAAAUAUAUACGAAAUAU
Long non-coding RNA from Cataglyphis hispanica, 1406 nucleotides. RefSeq lists it as uncharacterized. Lineage: Eukaryota; Metazoa; Arthropoda; Insecta; Hymenoptera; Formicidae. The record is from RefSeq and is a predicted model, not a curated record. The transcript is spliced from 7 exons.